ACAAGGAAAGGGAUCUAGAAGACCCAUGUAUCACCAACACCAGCUGUAGAUGUUCUGAAGAAGUUCACAGAGGUGGUACACACUGAAGAUGACUGGAACUGCUGUUAUAGGAGAGAGAAAGCACUGGCAACCCAGAAUGAGUCUUCGCUCACCCCUCUCUCCUAACAGGAAUUCUCAGCUCCUUCUCCAGCACCAUGUCUAUCUGCCUGCUGCCUUGCUUCCAACCAUGAUGAUAAUGGAUUAAACUUCUGAAACUUCGAGGGUGCGAGAUUUUACUGGCGGUGUUCCAGGAGUUGUCCUAAGGCGGCAGUCUGGCCUCAGGGCUGAGCAGGGAACUACCAGGUGUGUCCGGAAGGUGCCAACUCUUUCUACAAAGCAGGAGUCUUUUUCAUCACCAAAUGCAAAGCAGCCAGACGUUUUUUCACCCUCACCCCUCCAGUCCCCGGCCCCCCAUCUGGUGCCUGGAGGUGGGACGGGCUGGGAGGCAUUAACUCGCUCUCUGCUCUUUUACGGGACCCCAGAGGCGGCUGCGGUUCCUAGCAGAGCCACCCGGCCGGUCUGCACUAGACAGGCAAGCUUCAAGCUAAAUCAGGGUUUGCGCCAAGCCCAGGUUGGACUGGGGCAUCCGGGAAGCGGAGGGAGCUGGUCGAGGAACCCCAAGUGUGAGCGGUGGAGAGGCUG
This 681-nucleotide long non-coding RNA is filed under the name Cricetulus griseus (Chinese hamster). RNAcentral describes it as "lncRNA (ENSCGRG00015036672.1)". Lineage: Eukaryota; Metazoa; Chordata; Mammalia; Rodentia; Cricetidae. The record is from RNAcentral.